GAAGCCUCUUGAGCGAGCUUCUCAAAAAUGUCGUUGAUAAAACUAUUCAUGAUACCCAUAGCCUUGCUAGAGAUCCCAAUAUCAGGAUGGACCUGCUUCAACACCUUGAAUAUAUAUAUCUUAUACGUCUCUACGCUCUUCUUUGCCUUCUUCCUCUUCUUGUCGCUCGAACCUUCUUUCGGCAACUUCUUCUCCGCUCGUGGCUUCUUCUCCGCCGGUGCUUU
Molecule: unclassified non-coding RNA, 224 nt
Filed under: Hevea brasiliensis (rubber tree)
Lineage: Eukaryota; Viridiplantae; Streptophyta; Magnoliopsida; Malpighiales; Euphorbiaceae
Source: RNAcentral